CUUGUACCUCCAUUUAAGCCUCAAGUAACAUCUGAGACAGAUACCAGAUAUUUUGAUGAAGAAUUUACAGCUCAGACUAUUACAAUAACACCACCUGAAAAAUAUGAUGAGGAUGGUAUGGACUGCAUGGACAAUGAGAGGCGGCCGCAUUUUCCUCAGUUUUCCUACUCUGCAAGUGGACGAGAAUAAGUCUCUUUCAUUCUGCUACUUCACUGUCAUCUUAGAUUUAUUACUGAAAAUGAUUCCUGGACAUCACCAGUCCUAGCUCUUACAGAUAGCAGGGGCACCUUCUGACAUCCCAGACCAGCCAAGGGUCUUCACCCCUCGCCACCUUUCACCCACAUGAAACACACAUAUACGCAAACACACUCCAAGUUUUGUUUUUGCAUGAAAUUGUAUCUCAGUCUAAGGUCUCAUGCUGUUGCUGCUACUGUCUUAUUAUAGCAACUUUAAGAAGUAAUUUUACAAUCUUUGGAAGUCAUGAGCCCGCCAUUGUUCAUUUGUUCAUCAGUUGUCAUCUUUUGAUCUUUUAGUUUUUCUUUUUCCCUAACAGUGAAGGCUAAAUGAGAUACACUGAUUCUAGGUACAUUUUUUAACUUUCUAGAAGAUAAAUCAAAAACUAAUUAGACUAAGAAGACUUAGUUUAUAAAUUCAGAACAAGCAACUGUGGAAAGGUGGUGGCAUGCAUAUGCACAGCUUUAAUAAAGCGUAUCAGAUCAAUGCAUAAAGUUGGUAUAUAUCACUGAGAUCUGGCUGAAAUUUAUUAGGAAGCUUUUGGUAGAAGGACUGAACAACUGUCGAUAUAUAUCUAUAAAUAUAUUUUUCAAUUCCUGGUAUAUACUGCAGAGGAAGCCUAGUAUCACAUGUGGAUGUCGAGACUUCACAGGCAGUUGUAGGCAAAGGAACAGUGUUUUGCCAGGAAUGAAAGCAUAUGCACAGUCGAGGUCACCUAAAGGGUCUUAGGAUGCAAUUUGCGCCAGAGAGCAUUUUUUCCCGUGCUUGGAAACCUUUUUUCCUUCUUGAUGUUUAUCACCUCUGAUGGCUGAAGAAUGUAGACAGGUAUAAUGAUCCUGCUUUUCACCAAAAUUUGUACACCAAGGUAAACAGCUGUUUGCCUUAUUUGUUUUGGUUUUUUAGUUUCAGUUCUACGUGAAUUAGCUUAUCCUCAGAUGUUAAAACUUUGAAUGUCCUUUUAUGAUUUUGUUUAUAUUGCAGUAGUAUUUAUUUUUUAGUGAUGAGAAUUGUGUGUCAUGUUAGCAAAUGCAGCUCCAACUUACAUAAAGCAGACAUCCUGCAGUUUCUUUUGACCCAUGUGCAAGGAAUGUACAUGCUGAUGAAAAUCAUGCACUUUUUCUCCUCUGUAAAAAAUGUUGAUACAGCUCUGAAAUGGUUUAUAUUGAUUAGAAUUUGGCUUUGGGAGAAGAGAUGCUAUCGUUUAACCCCUUGGUGCUGAAAAUGAGAAAAUCCCCAACUGUCCAUGCCAAGGGGUUAAUGGAACACAUAGAUGCUGAUGUUGGCUCAUUUGAGAAGUAAAAUGUAAUAACGACCUGACAGCAUUGAGUAAUGAAGAACUUGAGACCUGAGUGAUGAUAAGAAAUGAACUUUACUUGGCAAAAUGAACACCUCUUGAGUAUUUAGGAAGUAGGCAGUAAAGGUUAAGGACCUGGUGUGUUUAUUCUGAUCAUGGUACAUUUAUCACUGAAUUAAGCCAUCAGGGAAAAAAAAAAAACACCUCCAGCUUUUCUUUUUUUGUAUAUACUCAUGUCCCCAAAUUCCAACAUUUCUCACUGAAAGGGGACAUGUAUGCAAACCUCAUCUUUCUCCUUCAUUAAUGAUGAUCUUCAGAUUAAACCCUUUGGUGCUAGGAGCUGACAUUUUCCAAAGCAGCCUAUGAAGUCCAAGGGGCUGGGGCCAUUCCUGCGACAAGCAGAGGGUGUCCCACCCCGUGGAGUGAUCAUGGAGAUAUAUUUUAGUUGAACUGUCUGACAGCUCCCAAAUGGAAGACUAAAGCGUGACAUUGUAUGAUGAUUGCAUUGUGUGAAAGAGCAAGUGACUUUCCAAGGAGGAUGAAUCAUACUCAUCUGCAGAUGUCUUAGCCUCUUGAUGCUGGAGUGUGGGUUUAUAGCUCUGAAACCACUGCUGGCGGUGGGUGGGCCACUGGGACUGACGGGGGUUAAAGGGCAUUUUACUAAGGCAGCUAAGACAUAUUCAGACAUAGACUUUAUCCUAGUUUUUCAUAUUUCUACCUGAGUGAAGUUUAUCCUUGGUGUCCAGUAGGAAUUUCAGUAAGUGGUAGUUCAUUCUUACACAUAUAGCUUAACUGUUUUUUUUCCACUUGGAAUUAUGUUGAAUGUUUCACGUUGACCAGAAAGUAGACUAGAAGGUAUGUCCUUUAAGUUGUCUUGCAUCCUUUGUAUAAGAAAGAAACAGGUGGGAGGAAGAGGGCUACGACUGGCUGGUAUUCAGAGCACUUACUCCUUUAGAGGGAAAGCGUGAUGCCGUACACUAAGCACAUAGCUUUUUGUUGUUGUUUUCUUUCCUCCAAAUCUUAAGGAGAUGUCUAUGACCUUGGCCAAGGACACUUCCUAAAGAUGAAUGACCGGCAGUGAUGGUGCCCUGGGCUGGCCACUCCUCAUACUGGUUCUCAGUCGCUAGCCAUGCCCAAGGCUCAGUCACUUGUGCCCACUGAGAUUCCAUUGAUGUCACAAAAGGUGUUUUCUUGGCUUUGAUUUUGAGAAUCCUUUACUUUCACUCCCAGAUCUGUCAGCUGACAUAGAGGAAUAAUACAAAAAGAGAAUUGUGUGUAGAGGGCGAUUCCCUUGUGUUGCCCGUAGCUGUAGUUUUGGGUUCUGACAGGUGAACUGCUCGAAACCUGGAAUCAUUCUUUGAGAAUACAGUUCAGACUUCAGACUCCAGCACAUACUAACUGUCAUGGUUUGACCUCUUGUCAUAAUGCAGCCAUCUUGGAGGAAAUUGGCCAUUUCUGGUUGGGUUGUUGGCAGGGUCACUCUCAGCUUUGCUUUCCAUACUAAUUACAUAGCAUUAUUCAAGUAUUGUUUUCCAUUCCCACACCUGAUUUCCAGCUUCUUGAAGCUGACUGUUCUUGCAGGGGCCACUUGCUUCUCCUAGAGUACAAAAGUAAGGGCCUUCCUUACUAACUGCAGGGUCUAUAUAUUACACCUCAAUGUACACACUUUGCUGCUACUGUUUGUACUGUCUACAGUAGAAUUUCCCUAUCUUGCUCCUGGUAGUGCAUUACAGGCAAGCAUGAAAUGUAAAGUAUUUAUUUAAAUAAAAAGAAAACCUCUAAAUUGGUAAUUGAAUUACCUCCCUGUAGCUUUAUAGUUUGUGACAUUUCUUGACCUUGCUAGUUCUUUCAUUAGAUCCGCGCAAGAUCUAGUCAUCUGGUUAAGGACUUUAAGCAGAAGCAACUAUGAACCCGAGAAACUGUAUUACUAUUACUGUCGGUCAUACUAAAAUUGUUUAUUCCUUACGUAUAUGACCCACAAGGAUGUGAAAUAACUACAAGAAACUGUUUUUGUACACUGUACAUCCUUAGUAUUUUUACACGUAUAUGAUAGGGAUGCACAUUAUUUUCCUUUCGUACAGACAGCUUAAAUAAAGCACUAUGUCAAUCUGCUACUUCUCUGUUUAUUGUUGUUGGACGUGGUUCUGUAAUCUCAGAAAAUUAUUCUUUUCUGGAAAAAUAAAUUUUUAAUAGCCCGACUUGGUAUUAACCUACCCUGUAUUAACAUAUGGCAGGAAAAAUAUGUAGUGAGUUUCUUGUAGCUCAAACACACAGGGAAUUAUUUUUACUUCAAUUAAAUGGCAAUAGUGCAGUUGUACAAACCUUGAUGAAGGGCUACUUCCGGCGGGGGGGGUGGGGCGCUGACCUCUCAGCACUGAGCUUAGGACAGAUCUACUGUGAAGCCAGGGACGGAGUGGGUCUCGGACCUUGGAGAUCAUUCAGACUCUAGUAAUGUUUACAACAAAUGGUUUGGACCCAGAAUUCUUAAGGAGUGUAGCUCAUUGUUAAUGUCUUCCUGAUAAUGUACUGUUCUGCAUACUUCUUUCUUAGAGUGAAUUUUUAACACUUCAUGGCAGAUUAACAAACUUAGACAUGGGUAGUAUAGAUGGAUAGGAUGGCUGGAUUGCAGUCUGGUUUAUGUUGAAUCAUUUUGGAUGGGGCCUUUUUCUGAUUUUACCUCAUGUAGCUACUGUUGUAGAAACUUGGCUUUGCUCCUGUGACUAAGCCAGAUAGAGAAAUGGCUUUUGGGGCCAGAGGUAGUCAAAGUCAAGCAUGUGUGUGUGUGUCACACAGCCAGGUUUGAGGGCAUUCUUUCAUGUGCUCUUCUCAGAACCACCGAGGUUGACAGAUCCAGGAGGCUAAAAUAAAGUGACCUCUAUAAUUCCUUAAAGGUGCUAUUUUUAGAAUAUUGUAUAAUUUAUUCACAGUAUACCUAAAACAGAGUUGAGGGCAAUUAAAAUAUCUUAUGUGACAGCCUUUAUGUCUAGCACAUUUGAUGAAAUCAGAAACUUCUGAAUCUGAAUAGAAGUUCUGCUGUUUGAGGCUUGCAUCUUUUGCAUGCUCGAGAGACUCGGACGGUCUCUGUGUGUGUCACGCCGCCGCCUCCAAAGCCUACUCCACAUCGAUUUUGAGAGGCAAGGCCGAACAUGGCGAACAUCAGGUCUGUGCUGAGACGACGGCGACGGAUCGCUGGCGGGAGGACGGCCUGAGGCCGGGGACGUGUCCCAGCCUUGCCUUGCCUUCAGUGCUUCGUCGUCACCCCCACGUACAACACACAACUCGCAGUGUCCACUGUUGUUCCUUUAAAGCACUCGAGGGCUUAACUGUGUAUAGUAGAAAUACUAUUUUAGACUAAAAUAAUGAUCUGUGUACAGAUAUUUGAUAUACUCUAAGUAAAUUUUCUAAUUUCACUAAGUACGUUUUUAGGCUCCUCUCACAUACUGCGUAUUGAAGAAAAAAAUCUGACACCACUGAGCCAAAGAUGCUUUUUCGUCUGCUUCGUUGUUUAACAGGAUGGAAAGAAUAAUGCAUAGUGCUUCCUGGUGUCUCCUGAUGGUGCACAAACUAAUGAGCUGAUAAGUAAUGAUGGAGUCUUGUGGGAUGGAUGUUGAUUAAAGGCAAGUGAGGACGAGGGGCGAGAGGGCGGUCACGGAAAGAGCAGCCGAGUGGCGGGACACAGGGUGCUCCUCCGUACACUCUGGCUUCGUGAAAUAUGUGCCUUUCUAGUGUGCUCGUUCGGCACUACAAGGAGAAGGGAAACCUGCAGUUCAGGUCUGGAAACAGUCCGUUUACUGAAAUGCACAUGUAUGACCUAGCACACAAAUGAGCAGAUUUAAAAACAUAACUGCAAGCCAUUUCGAAGACGCCCACCAGGAGCCCUCCUCGUCUUGUGUUGGCUGCACCAGCCAUCGUGCAGAACAGCAAGUGUGGAGGUGAGGACCAGCCCCAGUCUUAGGUGGUGUCACCCUGCGAAGGUCGCGGUGCAUUGUGGCAUAUCAAGUGUCAAUCAGAUGAAUGUAAAUAUCUCUUUGUAAAUCAUUUACUUCACUCUGUUCCAUCCAGGUCAGCAAUCAGAUUGUGGCAUGCUGGGUAACUGGAAAAAAUGAUAAUAAAAAGUAAGUUGAAAUAGA
Long non-coding RNA from Carlito syrichta (Philippine tarsier), 5658 nucleotides. RefSeq lists it as uncharacterized. The transcript has 2 exons. The record is from RefSeq and is a predicted model, not a curated record. NCBI's taxonomy places the organism in Eukaryota, Metazoa, Chordata, Mammalia, Primates, Tarsiidae.